This 253-nucleotide ribosomal RNA is filed under the name uncultured bacterium. Its description in RNAcentral is "partial 16S ribosomal RNA". It matches the Rfam family "Bacterial small subunit ribosomal RNA", at positions 524 to 776 of the family's 1533-position model. The record is from RNAcentral.
UACAGAGGCCCCGAGCAUUACCCGGAAUUAUUGGGCGUAAAGGGUGCGUAGGUGGUCGUGUUAGUCGUCUGUCAAAUCCCUCGGCUCAACCGAGGACUCGCAGGCGAAACGGCACGACUUGAGAGCGUGAGAGGUACAUGGAACUCAUGGUGUAGGGGUGAAAUCCGUUGAUAUCAUGGGGAACACCGAAAGCGAAGGCAAUGUACUGGCGCGUUUCUGACACUCAAGCACGAAAGCGUGGGUAGCGAACGGG